CUAAGGAUCUUGCGCAAUGGGCGAAAGCCUGACGCAGCGACACCGCGUGGGGGAAGAAGGCUCUCGGGUUGUAAACCCCUUUUAUCGAGGAAGAGAAUGGACGGUACUCGAUGAAUAAGGUUCGGCUAACUACGUGCCAGCAGCCGCGGUAAUACGUAGGAACCGAGCGUUGUUCGGAUUUAUUGGGCGUAAAGGGCGCGUAGGCGGCCUGUUAAGUCUCAUGUGGAAUCUCCCGGCUCAACUGGGAGGGGUCAUGGGAAACUGGCAGGCUCGAGGUCAGCAGAGGAAAGUGGAAUUCCCGGAGUAGUGGUGACAUGCGUAGAUACCGGGAGGAACACCAGUGGCGAAGGCGGCUUUCUGGACUGAUCCUGACGCUGAGGCGCGAAAGCAUGGGUAGCAAACCGG
This 405-nucleotide ribosomal RNA is filed under the name uncultured bacterium. Its description in RNAcentral is "bacterial SSU rRNA". It matches the Rfam family "Bacterial small subunit ribosomal RNA", at positions 355 to 776 of the family's 1533-position model. The record is from RNAcentral.